This is a small nuclear RNA of Fukomys damarensis (Damara mole-rat), 108 nucleotides long. Its record names the gene U5. It matches the Rfam family "U5 spliceosomal RNA". From Rfam's summary of the family: U5 RNA is a component of both types of known spliceosome. The precise function of this molecule is unknown, though it is known that the 5' loop is required for splice site selection and p220 binding, and that both the 3' stem-loop and the Sm site are important for Sm protein binding and cap methylation. The record is from Ensembl. NCBI's taxonomy places the organism in Eukaryota, Metazoa, Chordata, Mammalia, Rodentia, Bathyergidae.
AUACUCUGGCUUCUCUUCAGAUCGAAUAAAUCUUUCACCUUUUACUAAAGAUUUCUGUGGGGAGAGAAAAAAAGCAUAACUGAGAGUAGUGAGGAAACACUGCUCACU